CAACUUACAACAACGGAUCUCUUGGUUCUGGCAUCAAUGAAGAACGCAGCGAAAUGCGAUAACUAUUGUGAAUUGCAGAAUUCACUGAAUCAUCGAAUCUUUGAACGCACAUUGCGCCCCUUGGUAUUCCAUGGGGCAUGCCUGUUCGAGCGUCAUUU
RNAcentral lists this ribosomal RNA (158 nucleotides) under Paraphoma sp. RNAcentral describes it as "5.8S ribosomal RNA". It matches the Rfam family "5.8S ribosomal RNA". From Rfam's summary of the family: 5.8S ribosomal RNA (5.8S rRNA) is a component of the large subunit of the eukaryotic ribosome. Lineage: Eukaryota; Fungi; Ascomycota; Dothideomycetes; Pleosporales; Phaeosphaeriaceae. The record is from RNAcentral.